AGAGUUUGAUCAUGGCUCAGGAUGAACGCUAGCGGCAGGCUUAACACAUGCAAGUCGAGGGGUAUCCGUUUUCGGACGGAGAGACCGGCGCACGGGUGCGUAACGCGUAUGCAACCUACCUUUUACAGGGGAAUAGCCCAGAGAAAUUUGGAUUAAUGCCCCAUGGUAUAUUUUUAGGGCAUCCUAAGGAUAUUAAAGUUCCAACGGUAAAAGAUGGGCAUGCGUCCUAUUAGCUAGAUGGUAAGGUAACGGCUUACCAUGGCUACGAUAGGUAGGGGUCCUGAGAGGGAGAUCCCCCACACUGGUACUGAGACACGGACCAGACUCCUACGGGAGGCAGCAGUGAGGAAUAUUGGACAAUGGGCGCAAGCCUGAUCCAGCCAUGCCGCGUGCAGGAAGACGCAUCUAUGGUGUGUAAACUGCUUUUGUACGGGAAGAAACACCUCUACGUGUAGAGGCUUGACGGUACCGUAAGAAUAAGGAUCGGCUAACUCCGUGCCAGCAGCCGCGGUAAUACGGAGGAUCCAAGCGUUAUCCGGAAUCCUUGGGUUUAAAGGGUCC
This 561-nucleotide ribosomal RNA is filed under the name uncultured Flavobacteriia bacterium. RNAcentral describes it as "bacterial SSU rRNA". It matches the Rfam family "Bacterial small subunit ribosomal RNA", at positions 8 to 570 of the family's 1533-position model. Lineage: Bacteria; Pseudomonadati; Bacteroidota; Flavobacteriia. The record is from RNAcentral.